UAAUACGGAGGGUGCAAGCGUUGUUCGGAUUCACUGGGUAUAAAGGGUGCGCAGGCGGCCCGAUAAGUCAGGGGUGAAAUAUGACGGCUCAACCGUCAAACUGCCCCUGAAACUGUCAGGCUUGAGUUCGAGAGAGGUAGGUGGAAUUCCAGGUGUAGCGGUGAAAUGCGUAAAUAUCUGGAGGAACACCGGUGGCGAAGGCGGCCUACUGGCUCGAUACUGACGCUCAGGCACGAAAGCAUGGGGAGCGAACGGGAUUAGAUACCCCGGUAGUCCAUGCCGUAAACGAUGGGUACUAGGUGUUGGAGGAUUCUACCCCUUCAGUGCCGCAGCUAACGCAUUAAGUACCCCACCUGGGGAGUACGAUCGCAAGGUUG
Molecule: ribosomal RNA, 377 nt
Filed under: uncultured Bacteroidota bacterium
Lineage: Bacteria; Pseudomonadati; Bacteroidota
Description: bacterial SSU rRNA
Rfam family: Bacterial small subunit ribosomal RNA
Source: RNAcentral